Molecule: non-coding RNA, 99 nt
Organism: Acanthosepion pharaonis
Lineage: Eukaryota; Metazoa; Mollusca; Cephalopoda; Sepiida; Sepiidae
Source: the annotation of a GenBank genome assembly
GUUGAAGCACUGAUUCCCGUAUGAUCACCAAAGUUAAGCAAUGUUGAGCCUUGUCAGUACCUAGAUGGGCAACUGCUUGGGACUAUCAGGUGCUGUAAG